This 778-nucleotide long non-coding RNA is filed under the name Olea europaea subsp. europaea. The record is from RNAcentral. Lineage: Eukaryota; Viridiplantae; Streptophyta; Magnoliopsida; Lamiales; Oleaceae.
CGAUCGUACAAAAGUAAUGAAAAUGCUGAGAGACGAGAUAUGAGCUCUUCAAGUUACAGUUCUACCUCCCCUUCUGUAGAGGCCACACGUCCAAGCCGAACAGAUUUUGACAAUGGCUCCUAGUACAGUGAUAAACAUUCUGAUAGCUGGUUCUCAGCUAUCGAUAGACAACCUUAGGCACCACGAAAUUUCAACUUUCACUAAAUUCACAUGAGCAAUCAAGAAAGCACAACAAAAGUCGAAUGAAUAUCAAGUUAAAGAAGUCACAGGUGAAAAGUGUGCAUAUAUUGAACAAGAACUAGAAAAAUUAAGUGGUAAGCACAUGUGAACAGACUUAAGGGUCAAAAAGUUAAGGUAGCAGUUGGUUUACAUUUUCGUUUUCCAUUUUCAUUUUCAAAAACGACGGAUUAAACGCAUUUUCGAAAACGGAAAACGGAAAAUGGCCAGAAAACGGCAAACCAACCGCAACCUAAGAUUUCAUAUAGAAGAGCAAAAUUCUACUUUAAAAGAAGGUUCAACCAUAUGAAGAGGCUGCUAUACAUUGCAAAGAAGAAAAAGUUGAGAUCUUGAUGAGAACUGGUCAUAUGUCUGAAUUGGUCCCUAUUAAAUAUUAAUUUAGUAUAAAAUUAAUUAAGCAAAUUGACGUAAUUAUAUGCAUUUUCAUGUUUAAUAAAAGUGGGAUUGAUGAGUAGAAGCAUCGUGGAUAUAUAGUGUUUAGAUAAAUAAAUUUAAUAAGGACAAUAUUAUAAUAUAAAAUGUAUGAAUAUAAUAUUUCUUA